Molecule: long non-coding RNA, 1011 nt
Filed under: Canis lupus familiaris (dog)
Lineage: Eukaryota; Metazoa; Chordata; Mammalia; Carnivora; Canidae
Description: lncRNA (ENSCAFG00845021299.1)
Source: RNAcentral
GGCGGGGGCGGGGGCGGGGCGGGGGCGGUGGGGGCGGGGCGGGGCGGGGCGGCGGGGCGGGGCGGGGGUGGGCGGGCACACGCAGGGGCAGGGGGGCAGGUGCAGCCCGGGGGCGCACGCAGGGGCCGGGCGGGCAGGUCCUGCCCCAACACUCAGGGACCGACCGGGACCCAGGGCGAGCUCCGGUGGCCGCCGUCCUCAGCUGCAGCUCUAAACUGCUGCUGAGCACUCUGGCCUAGAACUUUCCUGGGUGUGCUUUUUUCUCACCAAUAAAACGCGGCUAGUGGGCCGGGACCCGGUGCUCCAGCUGGAAGGGUGGUCCCCUGCGGCCUGGUCGCUGCAAGCCGCCCUCUCCUCCCUGCUCAGGGUUUUCAUCGGUCCCCAAGCAGCCCGGCAAGUUGCCAUCAACAGGUGGGCUGCUGCUCCCUUCUCUUCACCCCACAUCCUUUAGGAACAGGUGCAUGUUUUCCUCAGGAGGCAGGGCUGCCCAUGGGGGGGCAUAGCCAUCGCCCUGCCCCCCAGCAAAUGCUUCCUUUCAAGGGGCAUCCUGGGCGUUGGCCACGGUUUGCUGGGCAUCCCCGUGUGACACGGAGCCACUGGGGAGCUCAGGCCCCCGCCCCGGGCAAGCAGGGGGGGAAAUCCAGGUGGGCCUCCCUGCUCCUGUACCUUUAGUGAAUUGGAGGGAAAGAUCAUUCCUUAUUUUGAUUCCAGUGUGACAGCCCAUAAUUCGGGUUUAUAAUGGUUUUUCUCGGCACACCAUGACUUUUAUGAAGCUGGCCUCGUAUGCAACAGCAUCAGUCACUGUUCCCUAAGCUUGCCCGGACCUCAAAAUUACCUGGGACAACUAAAAAGAAAACCAAACCUGACUCCUAAGCCCCUCACAGAUGUAGGUGGGGCCUACGCAGAUCUCAUAUUGGGGAAAUUGAGGGAAGCGACCCUGGGGGCCGGCCCUUUGGUGAUUCCUAUCUUUGGAGGUUCAGGACACCCAGGUACGGGGAGUACUUGGUUCGA